UACGUAGGGUGCGAGCGUUGUCCGGAAUUAUUGGGCGUAAAGAGCUCGUAGGCGGUCUGUCGCGUCGAUCGUGAAAACUUGGGGCUUAACCCUGAGCUUGCGGUCGAUACGGGCAUGACUGGAGUUCGGCAGGGGAGACUGGAAUUCCUGGUGUAGCGGUGAAAUGCGUAGAGAUCGGGAGGAACACCAGAGGCGAAGGCGGCGACCUGGACAGUUACUGACACUCAACUACGAAAGCGUGGGGAGCAAACAGG
This 254-nucleotide ribosomal RNA is filed under the name uncultured bacterium. RNAcentral describes it as "partial 16S ribosomal RNA". It matches the Rfam family "Bacterial small subunit ribosomal RNA", at positions 524 to 776 of the family's 1533-position model. The record is from RNAcentral.